AACGAACGCUGGCGGCAUGCCUAACACAUGCAAGUCGAACGAGACCUUCGGGUCUAGUGGCGCACGGGUGCGUAACGCGUGGGAACUUGCCCUUAGGUUCGGAAUAACUCCCCGAAAGGGGUGCUAAUACCGGAUAAUGUCUUCGGACCAAAGAUUUAUCGCCUUUGGAUGGGCCCGCGUUGGAUUAGCUAGUUGGUAGGGUAAAAGCCUACCAAGGCGACGAUCCAUAGCUGGUCUGAGAGGAUGAUCAGCCACACUGGGACUGAGACACGGCCCAGACUCCUACGGGAGGCAGCAGUGGGGAAUAUUGGACAAUGGGCGAAAGCCUGAUCCAGCAAUGCCGCGUGAGUGAUGAAGGCCUUAGGGUUGUAAAGCUCUUUUACCCGGGAUGAUAAUGACAGUACCGGGAGAAUAAGCGCCGGCUAACUCCGUG
Molecule: ribosomal RNA, 433 nt
Filed under: uncultured bacterium
Lineage: Bacteria
Description: partial 16S ribosomal RNA
Rfam family: Bacterial small subunit ribosomal RNA
Source: RNAcentral